AUAAUGUUGCAAGGGAGUCUAUAUUAUAGGCUGAGAAAGGACUGUAAGUCCUGACCUUUACACCUGAUCGGGAUCAUGCCCGCGUAGGAAGCUCGUUUACGCCACAC
Megasphaera micronuciformis F0359 is the source of this 107-nucleotide regulatory RNA element. It matches the Rfam family "TPP riboswitch aptamer (THI element)". From Rfam's summary of the family: Vitamin B(1) in its active form thiamin pyrophosphate (TPP) is an essential coenzyme that is synthesised by coupling of pyrimidine and thiazole moieties in bacteria. The previously detected thiamin-regulatory element, thi box was extended, resulting in a new, highly conserved RNA secondary structure, the THI element, which is widely distributed in eubacteria and also occurs in some archaea. Lineage: Bacteria; Bacillati; Bacillota; Negativicutes; Veillonellales; Veillonellaceae. The record is from Rfam.